Molecule: ribosomal RNA, 252 nt
Filed under: uncultured bacterium
Lineage: Bacteria
Description: partial 16S ribosomal RNA
Rfam family: Bacterial small subunit ribosomal RNA
Source: RNAcentral
UACGUAGGGUGCGAGCGUUGUCCGGAAUUACUGGGCGUAAAGAGCUCGUAGGUGGUUUGUCGCGUUGUCCGUGAAAUUCCCGGGCUUAACUGGGGCGUGCGGGCGAUACGGGCAGACUGGAGUACGGCAGGGGAGACUGGAAUUCCUGGUGUAGCGGUGGAAUGCGCAGAUAUCAGGAGGAACACCGGUGGCGAAGGCGGGUCUCUGGGCAGUAACUGACGCUGAGGAGCGAAAGCGUGGGGAGCGAACAGG